RNAcentral lists this ribosomal RNA (253 nucleotides) under uncultured bacterium. Its description in RNAcentral is "partial 16S ribosomal RNA". It matches the Rfam family "Bacterial small subunit ribosomal RNA", at positions 524 to 776 of the family's 1533-position model. The record is from RNAcentral.
UACGAGGGGUGCAAGCGUUGCUCGGAAUUAUUGGGCGUAAAGGGUAGGUAGGUGGUCUCAUUUGUCAGGGGUGAAAGCCUUGGGCUUAACUCAAGAAGUGCCCCUGAAACGGUGAGACUCGAGUACUGGAGAGGGUCGUGGAAUUCCCGGUGUAGCGGUGAAAUGCGUAGAGAUCGGGAGGAACACCAGAGGCGAAGGCGGCGACCUGGACAGUCACUGACACUCAACUACGAAAGCGUGGGGAGCAAACAGG